UUUUCGUCGGCACGAGAUCUGAUCACCGACACACAAGGGAUACAGAGAGAGAGAGAGAGAGAGAGAGAGAGAGACGAAGAAGUAGUGAAAAUGAAAGGAGAGAGAGAG
RNAcentral lists this small RNA (108 nucleotides) under Arabidopsis thaliana (thale cress). RNAcentral describes it as "ATSL125530". The record is from RNAcentral. Lineage: Eukaryota; Viridiplantae; Streptophyta; Magnoliopsida; Brassicales; Brassicaceae.